UACGUAGGCAGCGAGCGUUGUUCGGAAUUAUUGGGCGUAAAGAGUGUGUAGGCGGUUGCUCCAAGUCUGUUGUGAAAUCUCCCGGCUUGAACUGGGAGGGUGCGGCGGAAACUGGAAUGCUAGAGGGUGGGAGAGGUAAGCGGAAUCCUGGUGUAGCGGUGAAAUGCGCAGAUAUCAGGAGGAACACCGGUGGCGAAGGCGGAUCUCUGGGCCGAUACUGACGCUGGAGGAGCGAAAGCGUGGGGAGCGAACAGG
RNAcentral lists this ribosomal RNA (255 nucleotides) under uncultured bacterium. RNAcentral describes it as "partial 16S ribosomal RNA". It matches the Rfam family "Bacterial small subunit ribosomal RNA", at positions 524 to 776 of the family's 1533-position model. The record is from RNAcentral.